AGAAUCAACGCUGGCGGCGUGCCUAACACAUGCAAGUCGAACGCGAAAGCCCCGCAAGGGGUCAGUAGAGUGGCAAACGGGUGAGUAACACGUGGGUGACCUGCCUCAGAGUGGGGGAUAACGACCCGAAAGGGUCGCUAAUACCGCAUAACAUCCUGCCUUUGGAUAGUGGAGAUACAAGUUAGGGUAGUCCGCAAGGACCGUGACGCUUGGAGGAGGGCCGGCCGGCCGAUUAGUCUAGUUGGUGAGGUAACGGCUCACCAAGACGAACGAUCAGUAUCCGGCCGUGAGGAGGGCGGACGGACAC
Molecule: ribosomal RNA, 307 nt
Filed under: uncultured soil bacterium
Lineage: Bacteria
Description: bacterial SSU rRNA
Rfam family: Bacterial small subunit ribosomal RNA
Source: RNAcentral